Drosophila willistoni is the source of this 1233-nucleotide long non-coding RNA. RefSeq lists it as uncharacterized. The transcript is spliced from 3 exons. Lineage: Eukaryota; Metazoa; Arthropoda; Insecta; Diptera; Drosophilidae. The record is from RefSeq and is a predicted model, not a curated record.
UAUCGUGUUUUGUGCAGUGUUUAGUAACCCAUAACCAAACCAAUUAGCAAUCUAAUCAUUAUGCCACGUUCUAGAUUAUCCGAUGAACAAGGAGAAAUUAUACAAGAGGAGCGCCGCUUUAGUAUUCAACGAGGAAGGGCAUUAAUUCGUGCUUCUCAAACACAAGAGCAUAGAGGACAGCCUAUGAAACGGCUGUUAGAAAGGUUAGAAAGGAGAAAUCUUCGAGCCUAUCGUACAGAUGAGCAUAGGAAUAAUCUUCAAAGUGCAAGAAGAAAUGGUUCAAGAAUAGAUUUGAGUCGAGCAGACUUUCUAUAUGAUUGCACCAUCGACUACAGCUUGCAUCGAUUAGUUUGUGGCAUUGUGGCUCAUUGAAGUUUGCUGGUAAAACAACUGAUUUGUGCCGCCUUAGUGGUAAAGUAAAAUUGUUAUUAUUGGUCCCGCCAACAGUGCCAUUGUGUUUCCUACUUUAUGGCGAAAUACUAGAAAUAUGACAUUUUCUAGCGAACACUUCAAAAUACAAUGUCUGCUUCCAAGUGACUUCAUUUGGGGCUGAAAUUAUCGAAGAACAUGUUAUAAUCCAACAUUUAAGGUAAUUUUACGUUAAAAAAAAUUGUUUGUAAGAUACAAGAUCUGCAGUUAUGAUCAGAGCAGAUAAAAAACCUGCUAGAACACAUGAACGCACAUUUAAUGAUCCAACAAUGGAUGAAGUGGAAAUGUUUAUUGUUGGUGACGUUCAUAUGACGCGUUUCAAUACCCGCUGAUGUUCUGGCAAGGGGACGAUGAAUAUAACUUUAAUAUCAAAAUGAAAUAUUUAUUGAAUGGAUAGGAAACUACCAAGAAGGUUAGGUCGAUGAAAUACUACGCAUACCGUUUGCUGAUUCGUAAAAUUUUUGACAAUUAUUACUUCAACAAUAUUGUGUUUACAUGUCGAAACAAUACGUAGUACCUUAAUUUUAUUCGGUUGAAUCAAGGUAUUUUAAACUCCUUGAAUGUGCAGGGUUAAUGCUUAGAAAUUUAAACCAACCAAAACUGUGCAUUGGAAAGCGUUUGUUAAUAAGAAAACUGAUGAUCAAUACUUAAAGAAAAAUUUAAAGAUGAGGAAAAUCGUAUUCCAAGGAUCCCGAUUCGUCUUUUCUUCGCCAUGACGAUCAACAAAUCACAGGACCAAUCCUUGACUAGUUGUGGCCUUAAUCUAAAAAAUUCAUGUUUUCACCAAAAAACAAAUGUCGUUUA